ACCAUGCAGUCGAGCGGAUGACGGGAGCUUGCUCCUUGAUUCAGCGCCGGACGGGUGAGUAAUGCCUAGGAAUCUGCCUGCUAGUGGGGGACAACGUUUCGAAAGGAACGCUAAUACCGCAUACGUCCUACGGGAGAAAGCAGGGGACCUUCGGGCCUUGCGCUAUCAGAUGAGCCUAGGUCGGAUUAGCUAGUUGGUGGGGUAAUGGCUCACCAAGGCGACGAUCCGUAACUGGUCUGAGAGGAUGAUCAGUCACACUGGAACUGAGACACGGUCCAGACUCCUACGGGAGGCAGCAGUGGGGAAUAUUGGACAAUGGGCGAAAGCCUGAUCCAGCCAUGCCGCGUGUGUGAAGAAGGUCUUCGGAUUGUAACGCACUUUAAGUUGGGAGGAAGGGCAGUAAGCUAAUACCUUGCUGCUAUGACGUUACCGACAGAAUAAGCACCGGCUAACUCUGUGCCAGCAGCCGCGGUAAUACAGAGGGUGCAAGCGUUAAUCGGAAUUACUGGGCGUAAAGCGCGCGUAGGUGGUUCGUUAAGUUGGAUGUGGAGAG
RNAcentral lists this ribosomal RNA (553 nucleotides) under Pseudomonas plecoglossicida. RNAcentral's name for it is "bacterial SSU rRNA". It matches the Rfam family "Bacterial small subunit ribosomal RNA", at positions 53 to 601 of the family's 1533-position model. The record is from RNAcentral. Lineage: Bacteria; Pseudomonadati; Pseudomonadota; Gammaproteobacteria; Pseudomonadales; Pseudomonadaceae.